Molecule: ribosomal RNA, 1270 nt
Filed under: metagenome
Description: bacterial LSU rRNA
Rfam family: Bacterial large subunit ribosomal RNA
Source: RNAcentral
GGCGCCCGUACCGCAAACCGACACAGGUAGAUAGGAAGAGAAUUCUAAGGCCAACGGGAGAAGGGUAGUUAAGGAACUCGGCAAAUUGACCCCGUAACUUAGGAAUAAGGGGUGCCACAGCGAUGUGGUCGCAGAGAAUAGGCCCAGGCAACUGUUUAUCAAAAACACAGGUCUCUGCCAAAUCGAAAGAUGAAGUAUAGGGGCUGACACCUGCCCGGUGCUGGAAGGUUAAGAGGAGAUGUGCAAGCAUUGAAUUGAAGCCCCAGUAAACGGCGGCCGUAACGAUAACGGUCCUAAGGUAGCGAAAUUCCUUGUCGGGUAAGUUCCGACCCGCACGAAUGGUGUAAUGAUCUGGGCACUGUCUCAAUUACCCGCCCGGCGAAAUUGUAGUACCGGUGAAGAUGCCGGUUACCCGCGACAAGACGGAAAGACCCCAUGGAGCUUUACUGUAGCUUAAUAUUGGGUUUCGAUAAUUUAUGUAUAGGAUAGGCGGGAGACUAGGAAACCGUGGCGCCAGCCACGGCGGAGUCGACGUUGGAAUACCGCUCUUAAGUUAUUGGAAUUCUAACCUGCGGCCAUGAAUCUGGCCGGGGGACAUUGUUAGGUGGGCAGUUUGACUGGGGCGGUCGCCUCCAAAAAGGUAACGGAGGCGCUCAAAGGUUGGCUCAGCAUGGUUGGAAACCAUGCCUUAGAGUGUAAACGCGUAAGCCAGCCUAACUGCGAGGAUGACGGUCCGAGCAGUAACGAAAGUUGGAGUUAGUGAUCCGGCGGUAUGAGAGUGGAACUGCCGUCGCUCAACGGAUAAAAGCUACCCUGGGGAUAACAGGCUGAUCUCCCCCAAGAGUCCACAUCGACGGGGAGGUUUGGCACCUCGAUGUCGGCUCAUCACAUCCUGGGGCUGUAUUCGGUCCCAAGGGUUCGGCUGUUCGCCGAUUAAAGUGGUACGCGGGCUGGGUUCAGAACGUCGUGAGACAGUUCGGUCCCUAUCUGUCGUGGGCGCAGGAUAUUUGAGGAGAGCUUUCCUUAGUACGAGAGGACCGGGAUGGACGCACCUCUGGCGCACCAGUUGUCACGCCAGUGGCACAGCUGGGCAACUAUGUGCGGAACGGAUAAACGCUGAAAGCAUCUAAGCGUGAAGCCGACUCCAAGAUUAGAUAUCCCAUAGCGUAAGCUAGUAAGACCCCUUGUAGACUACAAGGUUGAUAGGCUGCAUGUGUAAGCACGGUAACGUGUUCAGCUUGGCAGUACUAAUAGGUCGAGGGCUUGACCU